UUGGAGGGCAAGUCUGGUGCCAGCAGCCGCGGUAAUUCCAGCUCCAAUAGCGUAUAUUAAAGUUGUUGCAGUUAAAAAGCUCGUAGUUGAAUUUCGGGAUCAAAUUGUCGGUCGUGCCUCGGUACGCACUGGUAUUAUUGGUUCCCACCUCCUGAAGAACCGCGAUGUCAUUAAUUUGGUGUCGUGGGGAAUCAGGACUGUUACUUUGAAAAAAUUAGAGUGUUUAAAGCAGGCUUACGCUUGAAUACAUUAGCAUGGAAUAAUGAAAUAGGACGUUUGAUUCUAUUUUGUUGGUUUCUAGGAUUGACGUAAUGAUUAAUAGGGAUAGUUGGGGGCAUUAGUAUUCAAUUGUCAGAGGUGAAAUUCUUGGAUUUAUUGAAGACUAACUACUGCGAAAGCAUUUGCCCAGGAUGUUUUCAUUAAUCAAGAACGAAAGUUAGGGGAUCGAAGACGAUCAGAUACCGUCGUAGUCUUAACCAUAAACUAUGCCGACUAGGGAUCGGAUGAUGUUAAUUUUUUAAUGACUCAUUCGGCGCCUUACGGGAAACCAAAGUGUUUGGGUUC
Molecule: ribosomal RNA, 564 nt
Filed under: uncultured Glomeromycotina
Lineage: Eukaryota; Fungi; Glomeromycota
Description: SSU rRNA
Rfam family: Eukaryotic small subunit ribosomal RNA
Source: RNAcentral